GGAGCAACGCCGCGUGAGUGAUGAAGGUUUCGGAUCGUAAAGCUCUGUUGUUAGGGAAGAACAAGUGCAAGAGUAACUGCUUGCACCUUGACGGUACCUAACCAGAAAGCCACGGCUAACUACGUGCCAGCAGCCGCGGUAAUACGUAGGUGGCAAGCGUUGUCCGGAAUUAUUGGGCGUAAAGGGCUCGCAGGCGGUUUCUUAAGUCUGAUGUGAAAGCCCCCGGCUCAACCGGGGAGGGUCAUUGGAAACUGGGAAACUUGAGUGCAGAAGAGGAGAGUGGAAUUCCACGUGUAGCGGUGAAAUGCGUAGAGAUGUGGAGGAACACCAGUGGCGAAGGCGACUCUCUGGUCUGUAACUGACGCUGAGGAGCGAAAGCGUGGGGAGCGAACAGGAUUAGAUACCCUGGUAGUCCACGCCGUAAACGAUGAGUGCUAAGUGUUAGGGGGUUUCCGCCCCUUAGUGCUGCAGCUAACGCAUUAAGCACUCCGCCUGGGGAGUACGGUCGCAAGACUGAAACUCAAAGGAAUUGACGGGGGCCCGCACAAGCGGUGGAGCAUGUGGUUUAAUUCGAAGCAACGCGAAGAACCUUACCAGGUCUUGACAUCCUCUGACAACCCUAGAGAUAGGGCUUUCCCUUCGGGGACAGAGUGACAGGUGGUGCAUGGUUGUCGUCAGCUCGUGUCGUGAGAUGUUGGGUUAAGUCCCGCAACGAGCGCAACCCUUGAUCUUAGUUGCCAGCAUUCAGUUGGGCACUCUAAGGUGACUGCCGGUGACAAACCGGAGGAAGGUGGGGAUGACGUCAAAUCAUCAUGCCCCUUA
This 822-nucleotide ribosomal RNA is filed under the name Bacillus stratosphericus. Its description in RNAcentral is "bacterial SSU rRNA". It matches the Rfam family "Bacterial small subunit ribosomal RNA", at positions 388 to 1204 of the family's 1533-position model. Lineage: Bacteria; Bacillati; Bacillota; Bacilli; Caryophanales; Bacillaceae. The record is from RNAcentral.